AUACGGAGGAUGCGAGCGUUAUCCGGAUUUAUUGGGUUUAAAGGGUGCGUAGGCUGUUUUUCAAGUCAGGGGUGAAAUGCCGGGGCUCAACUCCGGAGCUGCCUUUGAUACUGGGAGGCUGGAAUACUGUUGCCGUGGGAGGAAUGAGUAGUGUAGCGGUGAAAUGCAUAGAUAUUACUCAGAACACCGAUUGCGAAUGCAUCUCACGAAGCAGUGAUUGACGCUGAGGCACGAAAGCGUGGGGAUCAAACAGGAUUAGAUACCCUGGUAGUCCACGCAGUAAACGAUGAUGACUAACUGCCGGCCCGUUGCGGGUCGGUGGCCAAGCGAAAGCGAUAAGUCAUCCACCUGGGGAGUACGACCGCAAGGUUGAAACUCAAAGGAAUUGACGGGG
Molecule: ribosomal RNA, 394 nt
Filed under: uncultured bacterium
Lineage: Bacteria
Description: partial 16S ribosomal RNA
Rfam family: Bacterial small subunit ribosomal RNA
Source: RNAcentral